This is a long non-coding RNA of Heterocephalus glaber (naked mole-rat), 1050 nucleotides long. NCBI's taxonomy places the organism in Eukaryota, Metazoa, Chordata, Mammalia, Rodentia, Bathyergidae. The record is from Ensembl.
UAGUUGGUUUGCACUCGGAUUAGCUGCUCUUUGCCUAGGUUGUAGCUGUGGAUAUGAUUUCUGUGCUGAUGAGCCCAGUGCGGAGAUCUAUUGGCUGCCGGCUUUGUAAAUUUCAUUCAGUUUGGUCCAAUAGCAGAGGGAGAGCUCUGAGACAGCAGGACCUGGUUUCUCAGUCUCCCUUUUCCCCUCAAACCCUGUCUUUCUCCCUGUCUCCAUCUCCGGGUACUGAGCUCCUAUGCAGUCUCCAGCUCUGUGCCUCCUGCCCCAAUUCUGAUUUUAUUUUUCUUCUUCCUUUUUCUUGCUGGCCACUGACUUUCCAGAGCAGAAACGAGGAAUUCCCUCCGGAUUUCGGUGUCAUCUGUGGUCCUCACAUUCCUUUGGAUAAGCAGACCUUGCUGGUGUGUGCACAUCCUCCUGAAUCAUACUCCUGGAAAAAUCUGGAGAAGUGAAGAGAACUCUCGCUGCCAAUGUAACCAUGGACCGCCAAGGUUGUUUCUUAACCAACUACCCCGGGGCAAGUUGGAAUGGCUGUGAAGAUCUCCAUGAAUCCCCAAGUCUGCAGCAGUAAAGAUGAAAUUACAUGGAGAAGCUUAUUUGAAACAUUAUCAUAGUGUGGAAUAGUUCUUUCUUAGCUUCCACUUCGAUUCCUCAAGAGGGAGCAAUGUGCUGAGAUGGAAAAAGUAACCAAGUAGCUAUCCCUGGAGUGGUUGGAAAAGGCGCUGUGUCUUCAGGACUACGGAAUGAGAAAAUAAUGCAGGACACUGUGGGAGAAAUGAACUGAUAACCUUGUGCCGGACAAUUUGACUCUGCUCCAGGGAGAUGCUGAAGAGUAAUGCUUUGAAAAUAACAUCAAGAAAUGAAAGUUAACAUUUAAAAUAAAAAUAGCUAUCAGCAGUUUAGAGAUUCUGAAGGUCAUGCGGAGAAUAGCUUCACUGGAGUUAUAACCACUCUGCUGUCUCUCUCUCUGUCUUUUUUUUUCUCUCUCAUGCAUAGCCAAUUCUUUUUCUUAGCAAAAUGCUGGUGCUGCUUUAUAAGCUUAGAAACAAUAUG